AAUACGUUCCCGGAGCUUGUACACACCGCCCGUCACACCACGAAAGUUGGGGGUGCCCGACGUGCCUACUUUUGCUAGGCCCUAAGGCAAACUCAGUGAUUGGGGUG
This 107-nucleotide ribosomal RNA is filed under the name uncultured bacterium. Its description in RNAcentral is "partial 16S ribosomal RNA". It matches the Rfam family "Bacterial small subunit ribosomal RNA", at positions 1365 to 1482 of the family's 1533-position model. The record is from RNAcentral.